RNAcentral lists this small RNA (147 nucleotides) under Macaca fascicularis (crab-eating macaque). Its description in RNAcentral is "Metazoan signal recognition particle RNA (ENSMFAG00000047289.1)". The record is from Rfam by way of RNAcentral. Lineage: Eukaryota; Metazoa; Chordata; Mammalia; Primates; Cercopithecidae.
GCCAGGCAUGGAGGCGUGUGCUUGUAAUCCCAGCUACUUGGAGGCUGAGGCAGGAGAAUUGCUUGAAUCCAGGAGGCGGAGGUUGCAGUGAGCCGAGAUGGUGCCACUGCACUCCAGCCUGGGUGACAGAACGAGACUCUGUCUCAA